Molecule: ribosomal RNA, 504 nt
Filed under: uncultured bacterium
Lineage: Bacteria
Description: partial 16S ribosomal RNA
Rfam family: Bacterial small subunit ribosomal RNA
Source: RNAcentral
GACGAACGCUGGCGGCGUGCCUAAUACAUGCAAGUAGAACGCACAGUUUAUACCGUAGCUUGCUACACCAUAAACUGUGAGUUGCGAACGGGUGAGUAACGCGUAGGUAACCUGCCUGGUAGCGGGGAUAACUAUUGGAAACGAUAGCUAAUACCGCAUAAUAUUGAUUAUUGCAUGAUAAUUGAUUGAAAGAUGCUAUUGCAUCACUACCAGAUGGACCUGCGUUGUAUUAGCUAGUAGGUGAGGUAACGGCUCACCUAGGCGACGAUACAUAGCCGACCUGAGAGGGUGAUCGGCCACACUGGGACUGAGACACGGCCCAGACUCCUACGGGAGGCAGCAGUAGGGAAUCUUCGGCAAUGGACGAAAGUCUGACCGAGCAACGCCGCGUGAGUGAAGAAGGUUUUCGGAUCGUAAAGCUCUGUUGUAAGAGAAGAACGGGUGUGAGAGUGGAAAGUUCACACUGUGACGGUAUCUUACCAGAAAGGGACGGCUAACUACGUG